RNAcentral lists this ribosomal RNA (439 nucleotides) under Streptococcus sp. oral taxon 071. RNAcentral describes it as "bacterial SSU rRNA". It matches the Rfam family "Bacterial small subunit ribosomal RNA", at positions 28 to 457 of the family's 1533-position model. The record is from RNAcentral. Lineage: Bacteria; Bacillati; Bacillota; Bacilli; Lactobacillales; Streptococcaceae.
GACGAACGCUGGCGGCGUGCCUAAUACAUGCAAGUAGAACGCUGAAGAGAGGAGCUUGCUCUUCUUGGAUGAGUUGCGAACGGGUGAGUAACGCGUAGGUAACCUGCCUGGUAGCGGGGGAUAACUAUUGGAAACGAUAGCUAAUACCGCAUAAAAUGGAUUAUCGCAUGAUAAUGCAUUGAAAGGUGCAAAUGCAUCACUACCAGAUGGACCUGCGUUGUAUUAGCUAGUUGGUGGGGUAACGGCUUACCAAGGCGACGAUACAUAGCCGACCUGAGAGGGUGAUCGGCCACACUGGGACUGAGACACGGCCCAGACUCCUACGGGAGGCAGCAGUAGGGAAUCUUCGGCAAUGGACGGAAGUCUGACCGAGCAACGCCGCGUGAGUGAAGAAGGUUUUCGGAUCGUAAAGCUCUGUUGUAAGAGAAGAACGAGUGUG